CGAAAGCCUGACGGAGCAACGCCGCGUGAGGGACGAAGGCCUCUGGGCUGUAAACCUCUUUUCUCAAGGAAGAAGACCUGACGGUACUUGAGGAAUCAGCAUCGGCUAACUCCGUGCCAGCAGCCGCGGUAAUACGGAGGAUGCAAGCGUUAUCCGGAAUCAUUGGGCGUAAAGCGUCCGCAGGUGGCUGUUCAAGUCUGCUGUCAAAGACAGAAGCUCAACUUCUGAAAGGCGGUGGAAACUGUGAAGCUAGAGUACGGUAGGGGUAGAGGGAAUUCCCAGUGUAGCGGUGAAAUGCGUAGAGAUUGGGAAGAACACCAGUGGCGAAGGCGCUCUACUGGGCCGUAACUGACGCUCAGGGACGAAAGCUAGGGGAGCG
RNAcentral lists this ribosomal RNA (379 nucleotides) under uncultured cyanobacterium. Its description in RNAcentral is "bacterial SSU rRNA". It matches the Rfam family "Bacterial small subunit ribosomal RNA", at positions 376 to 770 of the family's 1533-position model. The record is from RNAcentral. Lineage: Bacteria; Bacillati; Cyanobacteriota.